AGCGAACGCUGGCGGCAGGCCUAACACAUGCAAGUCGAACGAACCUUUCGGGGUUAGUGGCGGACGGGUGAGUAACACGUGGGAACGUGCCUUUAGGUUCGGAAUAACUCAGGGAAACUUGUGCUAAUACCGAAUGUGCCCUUCGGGGGAAAGAUUAAUCGCCUUUAGAGCGGCCCGCGUCUGAUUAGCUAGUUGGUUGAGGUAAUGGCUCACCAAGGCGACGAUCAGUAGCUGGUCUGAGAGGAUGAUCAGCCACAUUGGGACUGAGACACGGCCCAAACUCCUACGGGAGGCAGCAGUGGGGAAUCUUGCGCAAUGGGCGAAAGCCUGACGCAGCCAUGACGCGUGAAUGAUGAAGGUCUUAGGAUUGUAAAAUUCUUUCACCGGGGACGAUAAUGACGGUACCCGGAGAAGAAGCCCCGGCUAACUUCGUG
This 434-nucleotide ribosomal RNA is filed under the name uncultured bacterium. Its description in RNAcentral is "partial 16S ribosomal RNA". It matches the Rfam family "Bacterial small subunit ribosomal RNA", at positions 29 to 507 of the family's 1533-position model. The record is from RNAcentral.